RNAcentral lists this ribosomal RNA (636 nucleotides) under Baeus sp. 3 NM-2013. RNAcentral describes it as "eukaryotic LSU rRNA". It matches the Rfam family "Eukaryotic large subunit ribosomal RNA", at positions 420 to 848 of the family's 3401-position model. RNAcentral also lists the same sequence under 1 other name. The record is from RNAcentral. Lineage: Eukaryota; Metazoa; Arthropoda; Insecta; Hymenoptera; Scelionidae.
CCCGAAAGAUCGAAUGAGGAGAUUCAUCGUCAGUGUAGUUGGUUUUUAUGUGUUUCGCGAUGGCACGCAUUCAUAUGAUAUAUCCAAUUACGUCGGCGUGCACUUCUCCUCUAGUAGAACGUUGCGACCCGCUGAAUGUCAGUCUAAGGAUCAAGAUGUUGACUGUUUUGUUCGUUUCGGCGAUCUUAGCAGACACUUGGCUUCUGGCUGACUGUUUGGCGGUACACACAAGGUAUUGAGCCGCAUUUGAAUGCGUUCAGACUCGUUACAAGCUUGACCAUCGAAUAACCUGGAGGUGCGGACCUAGUGCCGUCCCUGGGAGUGGUUGGCUGUUGGUUGACGACGUUCUCGAACUGGCUAAAUACCGGUCGGCGACGCUAUAGCUUUGGGUACUUUCAGGACCCGUCUUGAAACACGGACCAAGGAGUCUAACAUGUGCGCAAGUCAUUGGGAUGUUUUAAACCUAAAGGCGCAUUGAAAGAAAAGAUCGACCUUGCGUUGAUUGAGGGAAGAUGGGCAAUGUUUAGGUAUUGCUUCGCACUCCCGGGGUGUCUCUUAAAGUCAUUGCGACUUGGGGCGCACCUAGAGCGUACACGUUGGGACCCGAAAGAUGGUGAACUAUGCCUGGUCAGGAUG